This 207-nucleotide ribosomal RNA is filed under the name uncultured bacterium. RNAcentral's name for it is "partial 16S ribosomal RNA". It matches the Rfam family "Bacterial small subunit ribosomal RNA", at positions 568 to 774 of the family's 1533-position model. The record is from RNAcentral.
UGCGUAGGUGGUGAGGUAAGUCGGAUGUGAAAUCUCCGAGCUCAACUCGGAAAUGGCAUUGGAAACUACCUUGCUAGAGGAUUGGAGGGGAGACUGGAAUGCUUGGUGUAGCAGUGAAAUGCGUAGAUAUCAAGCGGAACACCAGUGGCGAAGGCGAGUCUCUGGACAAUUCCUGACACUGAGGCACGAAAGCCAGGGGAGCAAACG